RNAcentral lists this ribosomal RNA (503 nucleotides) under uncultured Glomeromycotina. Its description in RNAcentral is "partial small subunit ribosomal RNA". It matches the Rfam family "Eukaryotic small subunit ribosomal RNA", at positions 591 to 1092 of the family's 1831-position model. Lineage: Eukaryota; Fungi; Glomeromycota. The record is from RNAcentral.
CCAAUAGCGUAUAUUAAAGUUGUUGCAGUUAAAAAGCUCGUAGUUGAAUUUCGGGAUUGACGUGACGGUCGUGCCUUAAGGGGCGUGAACUGUCGCCGUUGAUUUCUCACCUUCUGGAGAAGCUCGAUGUCCUUAAUUGGAUGUCUUGUGGAACCAGGACCUUUACCUUGAAAAAAUUAGAGUGUUUAAAGCAGGCAUUUUGCUCGAAUACAUUAGCAUGGAAUAAUAGAAUAGGACGGCAUGGUUCUAUUUUGUUGGUUUCUAGGAUCACAGUAAUGAUUAAUAGGGAUAGUUGGGGGCAUUAGUAUUCAAUUGUCAGAGGUGAAAUUCUUGGAUUUAUUGAAGACUAACUACUGCGAAAGCAUUUGCCAAGGAUGUUUUCAUUAAUCAAGAACGAAAGUCAGAGGUUCGAAGACGAUCAGAUACCGUCGUAGUUCUGACCAUAAACGAUGUCGACUAGCGAUCCGCGGUCGUUGUUCAUAUGACCUCGCGGGCAGCCUUCG